This is a long non-coding RNA of Oncorhynchus keta (chum salmon), 821 nucleotides long. RefSeq lists it as uncharacterized. NCBI's taxonomy places the organism in Eukaryota, Metazoa, Chordata, Actinopteri, Salmoniformes, Salmonidae. The transcript has 4 exons. The record is from RefSeq and is a predicted model, not a curated record.
UUAGUCUGGGAUUGGAACAGAAUGUAAUUGAACCAGAAUGACAAUCUAUAACAAAGAUUUAAUAAUUCACAAAACCGUAAUACUACAGGGAUAUCCCCCCGGCCUGCAGGCGUACAACAUCUUGUAUUACUGAGAGUCUGGACGUUUGGUAUCGUUUCUAAAAGCACAUUACUUAGGGUGUUUUUUGGCACUUUGGUUGAUGUUUUAUUCGAGCUGCAGAACACAGGGAUGAGGGGAAAACUUCUCCUUUAAGGUCUACCACUUCUCCUUUAAGGUCUACCACUUCUCCUUUAAGGUCUACCACUUCUCCUUUAAGGUCUACCACUUCUCCUUUAAGGUCUACCACUUCUCCUUUAAGGUCUACCACUUCUCCUUUAAGGUCUACCACUUCUCCUUUAAGGUCUACCACUUCUCCUUUAAGGUCUACCACUUCUCCUUUAAGGUCUACCACUUCUCCUUUAAGGUCUACCACUUCUCCUUUAAGGUCUACCACUUCUCCUUUAAGGUCUACCACUUCUCCUUUAAGGUCUACCACUUCUCCUUUAAGGUCUACCACUUCUCCUUUAAGGUCUACCACUUCUCCUUUAAGGUCUACCACUUCUCCUUUAAGGUCUACCACUUCUCCUUUAAGGUCUACCACUUCUCCUUUAAGGUCUACCACUUCUCCUUUAAGGUCUACCACUUCUCCUUUAAGGUCUACCACUUCUCCUUUAAGGAAUCAUGUUGUAACGAUUUUACUGAGUUCCAGUUCAUAUAAGGAAAUCAGUCCAAUUUAAAUAAUUUCAUUAGGCCCCUAAUCUAUGGAUUUUAUGACAGGGAAG